CAACCCACACUGCCCCUGCCAGCCACCAUGGGGCUGCCACUAGCCCGCCUGGCGGCCGUGUGCCUGGCCCUGUCUUUGGCAGGGGGCUCGGAGCUCCAGACAGAGGGCAGAACCCGAAACCACGGCCACAACGUCUGCAGCACCUGGGGCGACUUCCACUACAAGACCUUCGACGGGGACGUCUUCCGCUUCCCUGGCCUCUGUGACUACAACUUCGCCUCCGACUGCCGAGGCUCCUACAAGGAAUUUGCUGUGCACCUGAAGCGGGGCCCGGGCCAGGCUGAGGCCCCCGCCGGGGUGGAGUCCAUCCUACUGACCAUCAAGGAUGACACCAUCUACCUCACCCGCCACCUGGCUGUGCUGAACGGGGCCAUGGUCAGCACCCCGCACUACAGCCCCGGGCUGCUCAUUGAGAAGAGCGACGCCUACACCAAAGUCUACUCCCGUGCCGGCCUCACCCUCAUGUGGAACCGGGAGGAUGCACUCAUGCUGGAGCUGGACAGUAAGUUCCGGAACCACACCUGUGGCCUCUGCGGGGACUACAACGGCCUGCAGAGCUAUUCAGAAUUCCUCUCUGACGGUGAGGCCCGGAGGGCUUGGCGAGGGCAGGGUGGGCUACGGGCCCCCAGGAGCCCCAGCUGAAGGGCCGUGCAUCCCCAGGCGUGCUCUUCAGUCCCCUGGAGUUUGGGAACAUGCAGAAGAUCAACCAGCCGGAUGUGGUGUGCGAGGAUCCCGAGGAGGAGGCGGUCCCCGCGUCCUGCUCUGAGCACGUGAGUCCCCUCUGUCCGGGGUGGGUGUCCUGGCGGAGCUGGCCUCUGAGCAGCAUGCUCACCCUGCGUCUGUCCCCAGCGCGCCGAGUGUGAGAGGCUGCUGACCGCCGAGGCCUUCGAGGACUGCCAGGACCUGGUGCCGCUGGAGCCGUAUCUGCGCGCCUGCCAGCAAGACCGCUGCCGGUGCCCGGGUGGUGACACCUGCAUCUGCAGCACCGUGGCUGAGUUCUCCCGCCAGUGCUCCCACGCCGGCGGCCGGCCCGGGAACUGGAGGACUGCCACGCUCUGCCCCAAGACCUGCCCCGGGAACCUGGUGUACCUGGAGAGUGGCUCGCCCUGCAUGGACACCUGCUCACACCUGGAGGUGAGCAGCCUGUGCGAGGAGCACCGCAUGGACGGCUGUUUCUGCCCGGAAGGCACCGUGUAUGACGACAUCGGGGACAGUGGCUGCGUUCCCGUGAGCCAGUGCCACUGCAGGCUGCACGGACACCUGUACACACCAGGCCAAGAGAUCACCAAUGACUGCGAGCAGUGGUGAGUCCCGGGGCCAGGGCUGGGCACGGCAGAGGCUGGGGUGGCUGAGCCCUGACCCUGUGCCCCGCUGCCCAACAGUGUCUGUAACGCUGGCCGCUGGGUGUGCAAAGACCUGCCCUGCCCUGGCACCUGCGCCCUGGAAGGCGGCUCCCACAUCACCACCUUUGAUGGGAAGACGUACACCUUCCACGGGGACUGCUACUAUGUCCUGGCCAAGGGUGACCACGAUUCCUACGCUCUCCUGGGCGAGCUGGCCCCCUGCGGCUCCACGGACAAGCAGACCUGCCUGAAGACGGUGGUGCUGCUGGCCGACAAGAAGAAGAAUGUGGUGGUCUUCAAGUCCGAUGGCAGUGUGCUGCUCAACGAGCUUCAGGUGAACCUGCCCCACGUGACCGCGAGCUUCUCUGUCUUCCGCCCGUCUUCCUACCACAUCGUCGUGAGCAUGGCCAUCGGCGUCCGGCUGCAGGUGCAGCUGGCCCCAGUCAUGCAACUCUUCGUGACGCUGGACCAGGCCUCUCAGGGGCAGGUGCAGGGCCUCUGUGGGAACUUCAACGGCCUGGAAGGUGACGACUUCAAGACGGCCAGCGGGCUGGUGGAGGCCACGGGGGCUGGCUUUGCCAACACCUGGAAGGCACAGUCAAGCUGCCAUGACAAGCUGGACUGGUUGGACGAUCCCUGCUCCCUGAACAUCGAGAGCGCCAACUACGCCGAGCACUGGUGCUCCCUCCUGAAGAAGACAGAGACCCCCUUUGGCAAGUGCCACUCGGCCGUGGACCCUGCUGAGUAUUACAAGAGGUGCAAAUAUGACACAUGUAACUGUCAGAACAACGAGGACUGCCUGUGCGCCGCCCUGUCCUCCUAUGCGCGCGCCUGCACUGCCAAGGGCGUCAUGCUGUGGGGCUGGCGGGAGCUUGUCUGCAACAAGGAUGUGGGCUCCUGCCCCAACUCGCAGGUCUUCCUGUAUAACCUGACCACCUGCCAGCAGACCUGCCGCUCCCUCUCCGAGGCCGACAGCCACUGUCUCGAGGGCUUUGCGCCUGUGGACGGCUGCGGUUGCCCUGACCACACCUUCCUGGACGAGAAGGGCCGCUGCGUGCCCCUGGCCAAGUGCUCCUGCUACCACCGAGGUCUCUACCUGGAGGCGGGGGACGUGGUCGUCAGGCAGGAAGAACGAUGUGUGUGCCGGGAUGGGCGGCUGCACUGUAGGCAGAUCCGGCUGCUCGGCCAGAGCUGCACGGCCCCAAAGAUCCACAUGGACUGCAGCAACCUGACCGCACUGGCCACCUCAAAGCCCCGAGCCCUCAGCUGCCAGACACUGGCUGCCGGCUAUUACCACACAGAGUGUGUCAGUGGCUGUGUGUGCCCCGAUGGGCUGAUGGAUGAUGGCCGGGGCGGCUGCGUGGUGGAGAAGGAAUGCCCUUGCGUCCAUAACAAUGACCUGUAUUCCUCCGGAGCCAAGAUCAAGGUGGACUGCAAUACCUGCACCUGCGAGAGAGGACGCUGGGUGUGCACCCAGGCUAUGUGCCACGGCACCUGCUCCAUUUACGGGAGUGGCCACUACAUCACCUUUGACGGGAAGUACUACGACUUUGACGGACACUGCUCCUACGUGGCUGUUCAGGACUACUGCGGCCAGAACUCCUCACUGGGCUCAUUCAGCAUCAUCACCGAGAACGUCCCCUGUGGCACCACGGGCGUCACCUGCUCCAAGGCCAUCAAGAUCUUCAUGGGGAGGACGGAGCUGAAGUUGGAAGACAAGCACCGUGUGGUGAUCCAGCGUGAUGAGGGUCACCACGUGGCUUACACCACGCGGGAGGUGGGCCAGUACCUGGUGGUGGAGUCCAGCACGGGCAUCAUCGUCAUCUGGGACAAGAGGACCACUGUGUUCAUCAAGCUGGCUCCCUCCUACAAGGGCACCGUGUGUGGCCUGUGUGGGAACUUUGACCACCGCUCCAACAAUGACUUCACCACGCGGGACCACAUGGUGGUGAGCAGCGAGCUGGACUUCGGGAACAGCUGGAAGGAGGCCCCCACCUGCCCGGAUGUGAGCACCAACCCCGAGCCCUGCAGCCUGAACCCGCACCGCCGCUCCUGGGCCGAGAAGCAGUGCAGCAUCCUCAAAAGCAGCGUGUUCAGCAUCUGCCACAGCAAGGUGGACCCCAAGCCCUUCUACGAGGCCUGCGUGCACGACUCGUGCUCCUGUGACACGGGUGGGGACUGUGAGUGCUUCUGCUCUGCCGUGGCCUCCUACGCCCAGGAGUGUACCAAAGAGGGGGCCUGCGUGUUCUGGAGGACGCCGGACCUGUGCCCCAUAUUUUGCGACUACUACAACCCUCCGCAUGAGUGUGAGUGGCACUACGAGCCGUGUGGGAACCGGAGCUUCGAGACCUGCAGGACCGUCAACGGCAUCCACUCCAACAUCUCCGUGUCCUACCUGGAGGGCUGCUACCCCCGGUGCCCCAAGGACAGGCCCAUCUAUGACGAGGACCUGAAGAAGUGUGUCACUGCAGACAAGUGUGGCUGCUACAUCGAGGACACCCACUACCCACCUGGAGCGUCGGUCCCCACUGAGGAGAUCUGCAAGUCUUGCGUGUGCACCAACUCCUCCCAAGUCGUCUGCAGGCCGGAGGAAGGAAAGAUUAUCAACCAGACCCAGGAUGGCGCCUUCUGCUACUGGGAGAUCUGUGGCCCCAACGGGACGGUGGAGAAACACUUCAACAUCUGUCUCACUACACCACGCCCAUCCAUCCAGACCACCUCCACCACCAUCCCCCUCCCCACCACCCCCACCACCUUCACCACCACAACCACCACCACCACCACCUCGACCCCCAGCACAGUUUCAUCAACAACUCCGAAGCUGUGCUGCCUCUGGUCUGACUGAUCAAUGAGGAUCACCCCAGCAGUGGCAGCGACGGCGGCGACCGAGAAACAUUUGAUGGGGUCUGCGGGGCCCCUGAGGACAUCGAGUGCAGGUCGGUCAAGGAGCCCCACCUCAGCUUGGAGGAGCUAGGCCAGAAGGUGCAGUGCGACGUCUCUGUUGGGUUCAUUUGCAAGAAUGAAGACCAGUUUGGAAAUGGACCAUUUGGACUGUGUUACGACUACAAGAUACGUGUCAAUUGUUGCCUGCCCGUGAAUUGUAUAACCAACCCUCCACCAACCACCACCCCCAGCCCUCCAAUAACCAACACAACCACCCCUCCACCAACCACCACCCCCAGCCCUCCAAUAACCACCACAACCACCCCUCCACCAACCACCACUCCCAGCCCUCCAAUAACCACCACAACCACCCCUCCACCAACCACCACCCCCAGCCCUCCAAUAACCACCACAACCACCCCUUCACCAACCACCACUCCUAACCCACCAACCACCACCCCCAGCCCUCCAAUAACCACCACAACCACCCCUUCACCAACCACCACUCCCAGCCCUCCAACCACCACCCCCAGCCCUCCAUAACCACCACAACCACCCCUUCACCAACCACCACUCCCAGCCCUCCAGUAACCACCACGACCACCCUUCACCAACCACCACUCCCACCCUUCCACCAACCACCACUCCCAGCCCUCUAACAACUACUCCUCUCUCUCCAUCAAUAACUCCUCCUACAUUUUCACCAUUCUCAACGACAACCCCUACUAUCCCGUGCGUGCCUGUCUGCAAUUGGACUGGCUGGCUGGAUUCUGGAAAACCCAAUUUAACAAACCAGUGGAGAUACGGAAUUGAUUGGAGACGUCUGUGGACCAGGCUGGGCAGCUAACAUAUCUUGCAGAGCCACCAUGUAUCCUGAUGUUCCCAUUGGACAGCUUGGACAAACAGUGGUGUGUGACGUCUCUGUGGGGCUGAUAUGCAAAAAUGAAGACCAAAAGCCAGGUGGGGUCAUCCCUAUGCCCUUCUGCCUCAACUACGAGAUCAACGUUCAGUGCUGUGAGUGUGUCACCCAACCCACCACCAUGACACCCACCGGCACACAGACCCCAACCGCGACCCCCAUCGCCACCACACACGUAACCCCAACACCCACCGGCACACAGACGCCAACCCCGACACCCAUCGCCACCACCACUACGGUAACCCCAACACCCACCGGCACACAGACCCCAACCGCGACCCCCAUCACCACAACCACUACGGUAACCCAACACCCACUGGCACACAGACCCCAACCCCAACACCCAUCACCACCACCACUACGGUGACCCCAACCCCAACACCCACGGGCACACAGACCCCAACCACGACACCCAUCACCACCACCACUACGGUAACCCCAACCCCAACACCCACCAGCUCACAGACCCUAACCCCAACACCUAUCACCACCACCACUAUGGUGACCCCAACCCCAACACCCACUGGCACACAGACCCCAACCCCGACAUCAUUCACCACCACCACUAUGGUGACCCCAACCCCAACAUCCACCGGCACACAGAGUACAACCCUGACACCCAUCACUGCCACCAGUACGGUGACCCAACCCCAACCACGGCAACAGACGCCAACACCCCAACCCAACACCCACUGCACACAGACCCCAACCGCGACCCCCAUCCCACCACCACUACGGUAACCCCAACACCACCGGCACACAGAGUACAACCCACACCCAUCACCACCACCACUACGGUGACCCCAACCCAACACCACCAGCACACAGAGUACAACCCUGACACCCAUCACCACCACCACUACGGUAACCCCACACCCCACUGGCACACAGACCCCAACGGCGACACCCAUCACCACCACCACUAACGUGACCCAACCCCAAAACACCACCGGCACACAGACGCAACCCCGACACCCAUCACCACCACCACUCCGGUAACCCCAACACCCACUGGCACACAGACCCCAACCGUGACCCCCAUCACCACCACCACUACGGUAACCCCAAACCCACUGCACACGACCCCAACCCCGACCACCCAUCACCACCACCACUACGGUGACCCCAACCCCAACACCCCCGGCACACAGACCCCAACCCCGACACCCCCGUCACCACCACACUACGGUGACCCCAACCCCCAACACCCACCGGAACACAGACCCCAACCACGACACCCACACACCACUACGGUGACCCCAACCCCAACACCCACCGGCACACAGACCCAACCACGACACCCAUCACCACCACCACUACGUGACCCCAACACCCACCGCACACAGGACCCAACGCGACCCCUAUCACCACCACCACUACGGAACCGCACACCCACCGGCCACCAGAGUACAACCCCAACACCCAUCACCACCACCACUACGGUGACCCCAACCCCAACACCCACCAGCACACCAGAGUACAACCCCCCGACACCCAUCGCACCACCACUACCGGUCAACCCCAACACCCACUGGCACACAGACCCCAACUGCGACACCCAUCACCACCACCACUACGGUGACCCCAACCCCAACACCCACCGGCACACAGACCCCAACCCCCGACACCAUCGCACCACCCACUACGGUAAUCCCAACACCCCACCGCACACAGGACCCCAACCCCGACACCCACGCCACCACCACUACGGUAACCCCAACACCCACUGGCACACAGACCCCAACCCCGACACCCAUCACCACCACCACUACGGUGACCCCAACCCCAACACCCACCGGCACACAGACCCCAACCGCGACCCCCAUCACCACCACCACUACGGUGACCCCAACCCCAACACCCACCGGCACACAGACGCCAACCCCGACACCCAUCACCACCACCACUACGGUAACCCCAACACCCACCGGCACACAGACCCCAACCGUGACCCCCAUCACCACCACUAUGGUAACCCCAACACCCACCGGCACACAGAGUACAACCCCAACACCCAUCACCACCACCACUACGGUGACCCCAACCCCAACACCCACCAGCACACAGAGUACAACCCCGACACCCAUCGCCACCACCACUACGGUAACCCCAACACCCACUGGCACACAGACCCCAACUGCGACACCCAUCACCACCACCACUACGGUGACCCCAACCCCAACACC
RNAcentral lists this small RNA (7331 nucleotides) under Pongo abelii (Sumatran orangutan). Its description in RNAcentral is "processed transcript". The record is from RNAcentral. Lineage: Eukaryota; Metazoa; Chordata; Mammalia; Primates; Hominidae.